This 85-nucleotide transfer RNA is filed under the name Candidatus Pelagibacter sp. RNAcentral's name for it is "tRNA-Leu". It matches the Rfam family "tRNA". From Rfam's summary of the family: Transfer RNA (tRNA) molecules are approximately 80 nucleotides in length. Their secondary structure includes four short double-helical elements and three loops (D, anti-codon, and T loops). Lineage: Bacteria; Pseudomonadati; Pseudomonadota; Alphaproteobacteria; Candidatus Pelagibacterales; Candidatus Pelagibacteraceae. The record is from RNAcentral. RNAcentral also lists the same sequence under 2 other names.
GGGCGAAUGGCGGAAUUGGUAGACGCGUCGGUCUUAGGAACCGAUAGAGCAAUCUGUGUAGGUUCGAGUCCUAUUUCGCCUACCA